GUGGGGCAAUUGCGAAAGCUG
Molecule: microRNA, 21 nt
Filed under: Plutella xylostella (diamondback moth)
Lineage: Eukaryota; Metazoa; Arthropoda; Insecta; Lepidoptera; Plutellidae
Description: pxy-miR-8498
Source: miRBase by way of RNAcentral